Molecule: long non-coding RNA, 757 nt
Filed under: Chinchilla lanigera (long-tailed chinchilla)
Lineage: Eukaryota; Metazoa; Chordata; Mammalia; Rodentia; Chinchillidae
Description: lncRNA (ENSCLAG00000027584.1)
Source: RNAcentral
GGAGAAAGCCAGCAGUGGGCAGAUGCCACCUCCUGUUGGGAGAAGGGAAGGAUCGCUCUUGGCUGCUGGUGUCUGGGGAUGAUGAAGGGCCUGAAAUUCGCCGUGCACACACUGGCAUAGCUCUUCACUCUUUGCUGUUAAAGAAAUUGUCUUCUGACUCUAGCAAGGGAAGAAAGUGGACAGCUUUCCUCCAUAGUCUCCAUCCCAUUACAGGUCCAGCUCAAAGGUGUGUUAGCAAGAUACAGUAGCCCACUGUGCAGUGGUCAGUGUGUGCGUCUCCAAGUUACAGCACUAGUUACCCACCACACGCCACUGGCUCUGGGGACAUUCUCAACUAAGGGCGAAAACUAGCAGAAUAAGAAAUUUUACCAUGGAAUUUUGCUUACUAAACAGCAUUUUCUUUUAUUUUUCUCCUCUGUCUCCUAUUCAGGCUAACUAGGCCCAGGGAAAAGUAUCCUGUGUUCAUUUCACCAAAGGCAGAUUUUCUUCUGCUAUUCAUGGACGGAAGCAAUUCUAAAUGCUGGACUCCGGCACCUCUUCCCUUCCUUUUCCAUAGAGUCUUCUGGAGCAAAAUCAUAAUUAAGCAUAAAAUGUGUGGUGUUAUUCCAAGUAUAUGUUGCUGCUUAGCUGUCCUCUCCAUCUUUUGCUAUCACGAUCACAGCACGGUCAUUGCCCAGAGGAACAUCUAUGUUUUAAUUACAUUGAAAUGUGUAAUAAUAUGCCUUCGGGUAAUACUUAAUAAACUUGCAGUAUGAGC